ACAGGAACAGCGGCUCACGGCCCUGCCGUUCGCGUCAUCCGUCAUCCGUGCCCCACGACGAAGUCGAGGAGCCCGCGCCCGCGACGUCCCUUUCCUCGCGUAGCACCUGCUGCCUCAUUGUGCGGUGCCUGAAGGGGUGUGGCGGCGGCCUCCUCGACGCGCAGGCCAUCCACGGCCGCUGCGUGCGGGGCUGCUUUGUGCCGUGUGUGGUGCGAAUCGGCGGCAGGGCAGGCGGUGAUAACACAAUAAUAUUGUACGGUGCGGGAGUAGGACUGUAGGAGGAUGCAUGCGGCGAGCCACGAGCGUCCGCCGGCGACGCCAUCCUGCCCCGUUUCCGCUCCUCGCGGCCUCCACCCAAGGAGAGGACAAGAAGGCAGUGGGAGCGCGUCCCCUCUGCCGGAGCCGCACGGCGUCUCCAGCGGCGUCAUGGACGAGUUCCUACAGCACCCCGCCAUGUCCACGUCGCCGUUUGAGGGAUGCAAACAACUUAGUUGACCAGCAGAAUGAACUCUUUCAGCAAUACCAUCGAUUGGCUAUUCUGCGGAACCUGUCAUGUUUUAACUACAGAUUUUGUAGCCAUGUAUUGACGCUUUUAACUUUGGUACAGUCUUUAUGGCUAUUGGUGUUAUUAUUGAUUUGAUUGAAACACUUAUUUUUAUCCCGAUUGAAACACUUAUUUACUCUAUAUGUUAUUAUCACCUUAUAUAUUGCUUAGUUAAAAUCAGCUUAGACGGGCGCAGCGUAGCGCGCCAUCCUUCCUAGUUGUUUGCAUGCAGCCAGGCUAGUAAGAGAUUCUGUUCGGUUGCCUGCUCCACCAGCACCCAGCCUUUUUUACUGCAUGCGAGCUCAUCCGAGCGCUCACCUUAUUUAUUCUUGAUUUGCUCGGAGGGACUCUCGCGCCUUCUUCGAGAGAUCGGCCCGCGGCAUAUUUCCAGAGGUGUGCGUGUGAGUGUCCAUGCGCCUCGCAUCUACUCUUUGCGGAUGAUGACAUUGUUUUCUCGGAAGCAUCGCAGAGAGGGGCCGAUCGCCUAAGAGAGGUCUUGAAUAUUUAUAAUAGAGGAUCUGGGCAGAUGGUUAAUCAGGACAAAUCAGCUAUAUUCUUUAGUAAGAACUGUUCUGGCGAUUCAAAAGAAGAAGUUCGAAAUCGUCUGGAUAUACACAGGGAAGCUCUAGCUGAAAAAGUAUUUGGGAUUGCCGACUUCUGUUGGACGAACUACAAAGGAGGUGUUUGAGUAUAUGCCCACGAGGGUGAAGGGAUUGAUUGGAAGUUGGAGUGGAAGGGAGGCGAGCUGUGCUGGUAGAGAAAUUCUUCUCAAGUCAGUUGCGCAGGUGGUUCCUAUGUACUCCAUGAGCUGCUUUUUAUUGUCAUUUAAUAGAUGCAAGAAGAUGAGACAAGCUAUUGCUAACUACUGGUGGGGAAGCUCUGCAGAUAAUCAUCAUAUUCACUGGCUGCGAUGGGAGCACCUCAUACAGCUGAAAUACCAGGGUGGUAUGAGCUUUCAUGAUCUUAAGCUUUCCAAUUUAGCAAUGCUUGGCAAGCAAGGCUGGCGUCUCAUGACACGGCCGGAGUCACUGUGCGCUAGAGUGUUGAAAGGAAGAUACUAUCAUGACUCAGGUUUCCUAGAAUGCAAAAGAAAAGGAGAUCAAGUUUCACUUGUCGUACAAUCCUGGCAAGAAGAGAAGUUCUCAAGAAAGGUCUGAUUCGGCGAAUCGGGGAUGGUUCAAGCACACGUAUUUGGGAGGAUCGAUGGAUUCCUCAGCAUUUCGGUGGCAGACCUAUUGUGCCACAAGAAGGGCAUGACCUCAUCCCGAGUAGAGCAACUUGUUUCAGGAAGUGGCCAGUGGAAUGACGAAGUGGUGAGGGCGUCUUCCAUCGGAAUCGAUGCCGAUGCAAUUUUACGAACCCCGGUUAGAGGCUGAGGAGAGGAUUUAUGGUCCUGGGAGCCGGAAAAGCAUGGAAACUACUCGGUUAAAUCAGCCUACAAGCUCCUAGAUACCAGAAGACAACAACUCGAGGAUGUGGAAGCUGUGGGAACCUCAGGAGAUGAUUCAUGGCGGCGCAUUUGGAAGCUUGAUGUGCCCCCCAAGGUGAGGGUGUUCCCUGUGGCUACCUGUGACACGUGUGGAAGUCAUGAGGAAUCAAUUGGGCAUAUGUUGAUGGAUUGCACAAUCGUAAAUAUUUUUUGGGAACAAACGAAAGAAUUAACUGAGGUAAAAUUGCCUACACUACAUCCAGAAUCAUGGGCACGAGACUUGCUAGUUGCUUGGGACAGCGAAACAGAGAGCUAUUAUCAUCUGUGGCAUGUGGUCCCUCUGGAUGCAGCGAAAUAAGCGAAGACAUGGAGAAGCUGGUAUGCCUAUUAGACAGGCGGUGAUCUGGGUCAGGGAUACAGCCUUUGAUCUCUGGCAGCUUCUACACUCACCAAAGCAAAACAAACCAAGAGCGGAGCAGCCGAGGUGGGUGAAACCAGAGCUGGGCUGGAUAAAAUGCAAUGUGGACGCUGCGUUUCAAACCGAGAACGGGCAAGGCGCAACAGGUGGUGUCCUACGAGAUGAAGAAGGCAGAUUCCUGGAAGCACAAGCUAUAGCGUAUAAUCACUGCAUGGACGCGUUGAUGGCUGAAGCAUAUGCUUGCAGGGGAAGGCAUGGUCCUGGCAGAGAGACAUGGUGAUACUCGUUUAAGCCUCGAGACGGAUUGCCAGGAGGUCGCUGCCCUGUGGGAGAACAGAAACAACAAUCAGUCAGUGAUAGCUCCGAUUCUCAUGGAGAUUCA
Panicum hallii is the source of this 2773-nucleotide long non-coding RNA. RefSeq lists it as uncharacterized. NCBI's taxonomy places the organism in Eukaryota, Viridiplantae, Streptophyta, Magnoliopsida, Poales, Poaceae. The record is from RefSeq and is a predicted model, not a curated record. The transcript has 3 exons.